AAUUUUGCCUCCCCAUAAGAGAUUUUCUGGCUCCGCCCCUGCUAGUCUCCUCCCUCUUUUUUCUGUUCUUUUCUUCAUGCAUCUUCUAUAGAGUUAGAGAGUUCCAAAAUUUUUAGAAUAACCUGUAAGAUUAACCCGAUUGACAUCCAAAGAGAAAAUCUGUUCAGUUGUUCAUUUUUUUCUAUUUGGUCUUUCACUUCACACAAAUAUGAGGACGAAUCCAAGGCUUGUUCUUGCGUCUCUGAGAUUAAAAUUUGGUCACGACUUAGUUUAUAAAUGUAGGCUCCUUCUUCCUUCAUUUCAAAGGUUCGCUAUUCUACUAUCAUUUCUGCUCUCUCGUCUCCUUCCCUCCGUUCAUCUGAAUCGGUUUAGGUGUAAUGACUUCAACAAGAAGUCUUCAGGUCAGCCAUCACUUCAAUCUGAACUCAUCAUUCCUGAAACACAAUAGGAAUACAGUCACUCACACAUUACAAUUUUUACCUUCAAAAUCUGUCAUAUUACCCUCAAAGCUUAGCUGUUCCAUGAUAACUAUACCCAGGGUGCUUGUUGGUCAGAGUUCAAAAGUUUUUCAACGUUCAUCUCAUACUUUCUUUAGAUUCUUCUAUUGGUGUGUUAGCUAUUUGAGUGCUAAGAUGUACAAUCAAGUAACCGAGCUUCCAACUGCUGUCAAGACUUUGGUUAUUAUCGCUUUGCUAAGCGGUUUCAUCGAAGAGCUUAGGAAAAUCAUGUGGGACUAUUUCUUGGUACUUACGAUGAUGCACAAGAAUCGGUUCAAAGUUGGCGAUACCGUUAGGAUUAUCUCUAAUGGAAAAAUGGUCACGGGAGAGGUCAGUGAUGUUGAUAAUUUUCAUGUCUCUAUUGCAAGAAAAACAGGCGGUGUGCUUGCUGUUCCAAAUAAAGAGUUUAUCAAGACCCUGGAGAAUUUAAGUCAGCUAGAAGUGAAGAAACGGUUUAAGUUCGAUUUAGUUGUGAAGAUGCACCUCUCAGAGACAGUUGAGGCUGGAAUUAGGAGUUGCUUUAAGAAGCUUGAUGAAGAUACUAAGCUAUAUACUAGCAAUUUUGAAGUCAGAAUGCAGAAGUUUGAUGGGGAGAAAAAUACUUUGGCGCUAAAUAGUUUUGUAUGUUGAAGUUGCAAGUGGCUUGUCUAAUUCAAAGGAACAAAUAUGUCGUGACCAGCGUUACUCUUGCCUCCAAGUUUCUAGAUGUUCUGGGGAGGUGUGAAGCUGCUGAUUCAAGAUGACCCCAAACCCAGAUGCAUAGAAUUUUUGGGCCAACUCUGAAUUAGUAAUAGUGCAUGAAAUCUUUUAUCACUUUGUGGAUUUCAUAAGGCUUACUUUUACAAAUGUUUGAACUUCAUGAAUCCCUAUAAAAUGUACUUUCACUGCAUACGACAUUUUUGGGUGGACUCUGAAUUGGUAUCAGUGCAUAGUAUCUUGUACCACUUUCAGGAUUUCACAAGGCUUAGUUUUAUGAGUGUUCGGACUUCAUGAAGUUUACAUGAUGUACAGAUGCCGUGUUUGCUUAUAUAAAUAUACAGAACUUUCUGUAAAUUAACUUCCUUUAUAUUAUCUCUUUCAGUUCUUAUGUUAGUUCAAGGUAAAACAGGAUAUAAUCUCAACCCUGCUUGUGCCUUUCUGUUACUGCGCUGAGCUUUCACAACUUUUUUUUUUAGUUCCGAUUCUUCUUCUUUUUAUCAUGUUAAUGCUGAGCUGGUUGGACAUCUUGUAGUUGUUGUAUUCCCUGUUUGACUAUUAACUGAAUGAUAUCAAAUACAGGUUCCCCCAUGUUCUGGGGCAACCUAGUCUCAUAUGUGACUUCCCUGUUUGGUGUUUAGGAAUGCUUAAAACAUGUAGUGAUAAUCAAUAGUACAAAUUAAUAGUCUGAACAUGUGCGGAAACUGUUUCAUCAUGUAUGAUUUUCAAUGGUAGAGUUUGAAAAGGUUUUUUAUGGCUCUUAUGUGCCUAAAUUGGUGCACUAGUAGUUGAUAAUCCGUCUGCAGGUACAACUCCUGCUGCUACUCCCUUGGGUGUCGCAUGUGAUUCUACACCGACUCCAAACAUCAAAGAUCGAAAUGGGAUGAAACUCCUGCAAGCAUGUGUCAUGUUACUCCAUGGCGGGUGCAACUCCAGCUGCUGCAUACACUUCAGGAGUUACACCUCUUGGAGGCAUUGAUAUGGCAUUGAGGUCUUGCUCCAACACUUGGGGCAAUUACGCCUGGAAAAUUUAAUUUAGUGAGAUGGUAAAGAUGUUGAAGAGAGAAACAGGCCAUUAAGUGACGAGGAACUUGAUUCAAUGUCUCCACAAGAAGGGUACGAAGUUUUAGAUCCUCCAUUAUUGUACGUUCCAAUUAGAACUCUUGCCGGGAAGCUUUUUGCAGCUCUUACUUUACUGGGUAACUCACUUUAUCAAAUCCCUGAAGAGAACUGUGGGCAGCAUUUGAUGUUCCGAAAGAAGCACAUUGAGGGUUUCCAUUCAGGAAACCAGAGAGGAUUACCAGUACUUCGAACCACUGCUAAAUGAAGGUCCUGAAACUACUGCUUAAGGUCAAGACUCAAGAGCGACAUCUUCUAGUUUGGUGGAGGCCCACACUUUAACAGGAUAUUGCCUUCACUUAUGCAACUGAUGUUUGAAUAUCAAGAGCGACAUCUUCUAGUUAAGGUUAUAGAUAGGGAUUUGGACAAGUUGGAUGAACUUGUACCGAACUUCUUGUGGUGAUCAACCCUUUUCUGAUAGAUGAGGCUAUUAUGCUCGUGUCGAGGGAAUGAAAUUAUUUCCAACCUGAGUACAGCUCUGGUUUUGCUACGAUGAUUGCUUCAAUGAAGCCUGGUGUUUGUAUAAUUAUGAGUAUGUUAAUUGUGAGGGCUUUCGGUGUUUCUUCA
RNA transcript from Papaver somniferum (opium poppy), 2879 nucleotides. RefSeq lists it as uncharacterized. The transcript has 4 exons. NCBI's taxonomy places the organism in Eukaryota, Viridiplantae, Streptophyta, Magnoliopsida, Ranunculales, Papaveraceae. The record is from RefSeq and is a predicted model, not a curated record.